GCGGAAGUAGUUCAGCGGUAGAACACCACCUUGCCAAGGUGGGGGUCGCGGGUUCGAAUCCCGUCUUCCGCU
Molecule: transfer RNA, 72 nt
Organism: Pontibacillus chungwhensis BH030062
Lineage: Bacteria; Bacillati; Bacillota; Bacilli; Caryophanales; Bacillaceae
Rfam family: tRNA
About the family: Transfer RNA (tRNA) molecules are approximately 80 nucleotides in length. Their secondary structure includes four short double-helical elements and three loops (D, anti-codon, and T loops).
Source: Rfam